UGUUUUUCUCAUGUGCCUACUGUAUGGAAGGCAUUGCUCUAGGUUCUAGAGAUGCAGAGAUAAAAGGUGACUUCCAUCUUUGAGAAGUGGACAGUGAGACUACCCAGUGGAAUCAUUUAUAGAAGCAUGAGGAGCUGAGGUCAUGUUAAAGGACUCUAUAAAGACACCAUCAGCAAAAUUCAGACAGCGGGAAACUACAGGGCAAACACCGGACUUCCUCAGUAAAUACACUACAACGGGCAAAAGUCGAAGAGUAUGUCUUGGUUAUAGAAAUUCACGUCAGAGCAGCGAAGUGGCUUCUGUUUAAAGCAGAAUGUUUUCAGGAGUGACGUGUCAACCUGGAGGAUCUUGGGAUCCACUCUUGCCCUUCCUGGCCCCACCUGCAGCUGUUCUGGUUACACCUUCAGGGGUGUGAGAGGAUUGUUACUUGAUGAGAAGCACCCCACCAAGAUGAGAGGUGGGGGGAUUGCAUAAAGACAUAUUUCCUUUCACGUUAAAAGAGAGAAAAUAAAAGAGCAAGGGAAAUCACAGUAAUAUAAUUUUUUAAAAUCCUUGUUAGGCAGCACUUCAGGCAGGAGAAAGGUGUUGAGAAAUCAAGUAAACAAUGACAGCACACCAGGACUCCCAAAAGGCUAGGUGUUGCUUGUGGAAGCCGCCUGAGAAACAGAAAGGACACACUCAGGAUAAAAAUGAAAUAAAAAGUGGAUCAUGGUGGUGAGAAGAAAGGAAAUUCCACCUCUGAUCCGCAUCUCACAAAUGCAUAAACUGCUUUAUUGUUUUGCUGAGAAGCUCACAAAAUGCAUAAACCACUUUACUGAAACAAAGACUAAUACCCUUGAUGGCUCCUGCCACCUCUGCCAGCCCUGCUCAGAGGGAUGAGAACCUUCCAUCUGCCCUUGGCCCAUCCAGACCCUCAACCAGUUUGGGUCAAGAUAGCCUGCAAAGUUCUGGGCUCCCAACUGGCCAGCCAGUGGAGUCUGGAAGCAAUUCUGCAGCCGUGACAUCUAAUGCAUAUGGGGUGAGUCUCACAUACACCCAUGUCCACUGAGCAGCAGCUUCCCCCAUGACCCUCGCCAAUCUGGCAAGUAGAAAAACAAUGGCUCUGGGCACGGGUUCAAAUCCCAGCUCUGCUACUUCCCAGUUGAAUGAUCUUGGACAAAUUACCUAACGGUUCUCUGUCUGUUUUCUCCCGUCAAUUCACAAGGCU
Molecule: long non-coding RNA, 1207 nt
Filed under: Homo sapiens (human)
Lineage: Eukaryota; Metazoa; Chordata; Mammalia; Primates; Hominidae
Description: HSALNT0106017
Source: RNAcentral